Molecule: ribosomal RNA, 748 nt
Filed under: uncultured bacterium
Lineage: Bacteria
Description: bacterial SSU rRNA
Rfam family: Bacterial small subunit ribosomal RNA
Source: RNAcentral
UGAGCGAGCUUGCCUAGAUGAUUUUAGUGCUUGCACUAAAUGAAACUAGAUACAAGCGAGCGGCGGACGGGUGAGUAACACGUGGGUAACCUGCCCAAGAGACUGGGAUAACACCUGGAAACAGAUGCUAAUACCGGAUAACAACACUAGACGCAUGUCUAGAGUUUGAAAGAUGGUUCUGCUAUCACUCUUGGAUGGACCUGCGGUGCAUUAGCUAGUUGGUAAGGUAACGGCUUACCAAGGCAAUGAUGCAUAGCCGAGUUGAGAGACUGAUCGGCCACAUUGGGACUGAGACACGGCCCAAACUCCUACGGGAGGCAGCAGUAGGGAAUCUUCCACAAUGGACGAAAGUCUGAUGGAGCAACGCCGCGUGAGUGAAGAAGGGUUUCGGCUCGUAAAGCUCUGUUGGUAGUGAAGAAAGAUAGAGGUAGUAACUGGCCUUUAUUUGACGGUAAUUACUUAGAAAGUCACGGCUAACUACGUGCCAGCAGCCGCGGUAAUACGUAGGUGGCAAGCGUUGUCCGGAUUUAUUGGGCGUAAAGCGAGUGCAGGCGGUUCAAUAAGUCUGAUGUGAAAGCCUUCGGCUCAACCGGAGAAUUGCAUCAGAAACUGUUGAACUUGAGUGCAGAAGAGGAGAGUGGAACUCCAUGUGUAGCGGUGGAAUGCGUAGAUAUAUGGAAGAACACCAGUGGCGAAGGCGGCUCUCUGGUCUGCAACUGACGCUGAGGCUCGAAAGCAUGGGUAGCGA